AGUUGAUCACUCGGCUCGUGCCCCAUAGUACCAGUAAGAUGCGAGAGCAAAUGUGAAUUGCAGGACUCACUGAUCAUCGACAUUUCGAACGCAAAUGGCGGUUCGGGUCCCUUGUGACUCGAACCACGCCCGACUGAGCGUCC
RNAcentral lists this ribosomal RNA (143 nucleotides) under Actinopyga lecanora. RNAcentral describes it as "partial 5.8S ribosomal RNA". It matches the Rfam family "5.8S ribosomal RNA". Rfam says of the family: 5.8S ribosomal RNA (5.8S rRNA) is a component of the large subunit of the eukaryotic ribosome. Lineage: Eukaryota; Metazoa; Echinodermata; Holothuroidea; Aspidochirotida; Holothuriidae. The record is from RNAcentral.